UACGGGGGGGGUAAGCGUUGUUCGGAAUUACUGGGCGUAAAGGGCUCGUAGGCGGCCAACUAAGUCAGACGUGAAAUCCCUCAGCUUAACUGGGGAACUGCGUCUGAUACUGGAUGGCUUGGAUUCGGGAGAGGAAUGCGGAAUUCCAGGUGUAGCGGUGAAAUGCGCAGAUAUCAGGAGGAACACCGGUGGCGAAGGCGGGUCUCUGGGCCGAUACUGACGCUGAGGAGCGAAAGCGUGGGGAGCAAACAGG
Molecule: ribosomal RNA, 253 nt
Filed under: uncultured bacterium
Lineage: Bacteria
Description: partial 16S ribosomal RNA
Rfam family: Bacterial small subunit ribosomal RNA
Source: RNAcentral